GAAAUUUCACUUAUUUCCUCUUUAUAAAUAGACUCUUAAUGCCCUCUUCUUCCCACUCCUACCAUUCAAGUCCUGAUAGAGUUUCUAUAUAUAGAGUAUGGGAGACUCUGUAAAGCUCAGGAGGGAUAGCGCCAUAAGCAAUGAUAAUGGUUAUUGAUUUUUGGGUUAAUCUCAAAAAAAAAAAAAAAAAAAAAAAAAAUCAUUAAUGGCGCUAUCUAUCCUGAGUUUCACAGGUUCUUCUUGCUUUCUUUCUUCUUUUACAGUGCAGUUUCAACUUCAGAGAUCACAUAGCUGGUAUCUGGGUGUGUUUGGACUUCAAAGAUGUAGCAAGAUUAAAGAUCUUUCUGUACAAAAAGGCUUUUCAAUAAUGGGAUUAAUUACUGAGGAUGUUGACUCUUCGCCAACUUCGUUCAGCUCAUGGUCUCGUCGCUUUCUUUUCUAAUUGCAUUUUUAAAUUUCUUUUUUCUCUCUCUACUUCUGGAUCAUCAUCAUUAUAUUAAUUAAAGAAUAUAUACAAUAAUAAUUUAUUUUUAUUUAUUAUUCUGAUGCAAUCAUAGAUAUAAAAAUUACCUAACUUUGCAUUUUUUUUCUGAUGGUUGUUGAUGGCGAGGUUGACUCAUAGGAGCAAUUCUUUUGUGUUAUGUAGUUAUCUAGUCUCUGUGCAGAUGCAAUAUGCAUCAUUGGGUUGGCCAUUAUAACCAAAAUGUAAGGUUAGAAUAUAUAAUUAUUGUAUUCUCUUUUACUUUGA
Molecule: long non-coding RNA, 748 nt
Organism: Manihot esculenta (cassava)
Lineage: Eukaryota; Viridiplantae; Streptophyta; Magnoliopsida; Malpighiales; Euphorbiaceae
Exons: 2
Source: RefSeq, a predicted model, not a curated record